GGAUAUGAGGGUGAUCUGGCUGUGACAUCUGUCACCCCAUUGAUCACCAGGGUUAAUUCGGCUGAUCUGGUUGGCUAGGUGGGUAUCCCCUUCCUUCCUCACCUCUCCAUGUGCGUCCCUCCCGAAGCUGCGCACGCUGGGUUGAAGAGGACGGGCCUUCCCCAAAUAAAGACAGGCCGGUCUUCCAUGAGUAGCUGUGCUCCCCUGCUAGAACCUCCAAAUAAGCUUUCAGAAAAGGUAAAGUUUGUUUCUUCUGACCCAACUUGUCCUGGGAUCAAGUU
This 281-nucleotide small nuclear RNA is filed under the name Erinaceus europaeus (western European hedgehog). RNAcentral describes it as "7SK RNA". It matches the Rfam family "7SK RNA", at positions 1 to 261 of the family's 331-position model. Rfam says of the family: 7SK was discovered as an abundant small nuclear RNA in the mid-70s but a possible function has only recently been suggested. Lineage: Eukaryota; Metazoa; Chordata; Mammalia; Eulipotyphla; Erinaceidae. The record is from Rfam by way of RNAcentral.